This 35-nucleotide ribosomal RNA is filed under the name Candida albicans. RNAcentral describes it as "partial 18S ribosomal RNA". The record is from RNAcentral. Lineage: Eukaryota; Fungi; Ascomycota; Pichiomycetes; Serinales; Debaryomycetaceae.
CCUCUUCCGUAGGUGAACCUGCGGAAGGAUCAUUA